CGGCCUGAAAUGAUGUUCUGGGUUCAUGUCUCUUCUCUGAGAUGUCUUGUGGAGACAGCCAGAUGCAUUUCUGAUCAGGCUU
Molecule: small nucleolar RNA, 82 nt
Organism: Camarhynchus parvulus
Lineage: Eukaryota; Metazoa; Chordata; Aves; Passeriformes; Thraupidae
Source: Ensembl